RNAcentral lists this ribosomal RNA (498 nucleotides) under uncultured Streptococcus sp. RNAcentral describes it as "bacterial SSU rRNA". It matches the Rfam family "Bacterial small subunit ribosomal RNA", at positions 28 to 508 of the family's 1533-position model. Lineage: Bacteria; Bacillati; Bacillota; Bacilli; Lactobacillales; Streptococcaceae. The record is from RNAcentral.
GACGAACGCUGGCGGCGUGCCUAAUACAUGCAAGUAGAACGCUGAAGAGAGGAGCUUGCUCUUCUUGGAUGAGUUGCGAACGGGUGAGUAACGCGUAGGUAACCUGCCUGGUAGCGGGGGAUAACUAUUGGAAACGAUAGCUAAUACCGCAUAAAAUUGAUUAUUGCAUGAUAAUUAAUUGAAAGAUGCAACUGCAUCACUACCAGAUGGACCUGCGUUGUAUUAGCUAGUUGGUGAGGUAACGGCUCACCAAGGCGACGAUACAUAGCCGACCUGAGAGGGUGAUCGGCCACACUGGGACUGAGACACGGCCCAGACUCCUACGGGAGGCAGCAGUAGGGAAUCUUCGGCAAUGGGGGGAACCCUGACCGAGCAACGCCGCGUGAGUGAAGAAGGUUUUCGGAUCGUAAAGCUCUGUUGUAAGAGAAGAACGGGUGUGAGAGUGGAAAGUUCACACUGUGACGGUAUCUUACCAGAAAGGGACGGCUAACUACGUGC